RNAcentral lists this long non-coding RNA (1024 nucleotides) under Mytilus galloprovincialis (Mediterranean mussel). The record is from RNAcentral. Lineage: Eukaryota; Metazoa; Mollusca; Bivalvia; Mytilida; Mytilidae.
ACAGUUUCAUAUUUAAUAGACAAAGACAACAUAAAUACAUAAAUCAUAUCGCGGUAUCUCCAGGGCAAAAAUAUCAAUUUAGAAUUUCAAUACACUUUCGAACUUCCCCUUUUUGGACAAACAAUGCGGUGAAAAAUACCCAUACAAGUUAACCAUUUCAAAGAAGCGUUUGGUCUUAGUGCUAUCUAAUUGAAUAAAAUAAAAUGAUACUAGAAUUUGAAGUGUCCGUUUACUUAAAAUAUUGAGAGCUGUACACUAUUCGUUUUUAACUAAAUUAUAAUCCAAUCAAUCAAGUUGUGACGUCAACCUUCCGAGACAAAAUAAUUAUACCACUGGUUCCCACCGACUUUGUUAGACUAGAACAUGAAUCUCAUUAUUCUAUGACUAGGGAACAAAAAUCGAUCCAGUAAAAAAAAAACCAUCGCAUUUUCCGUUUAGUUUUCAAUCCAACCAGAGCAAUGUUUGAAAAACGUUUUUCAAUAAAAUUGACCAGUUCAAGAUCCAAAACCAAAACAUGCGAUAAUACAAAAUUCUAUUUCAGAGUAAUUAGGCACGAACAAUCCCGUAGAUUGACGACCGUUACUCCAAAAUAUCCCUCGGAUUAACCCUCUGUCUAAAUAUCGCUAUCAAAAUGAAACCCAUCUCUUUAUAAACCCGAAAUCAUAAAAUAUCAAGCUAGUGUACAAUUCCCUCUAUUUAUUCUGGAACGGAAACGUAAAUUUAACAUUUUAGAACUGUUUGACUACGAGACCGAAAAGAAAAUAUCAAAUGUAAAGAAAUAAAUAUUUAAGUCAAACAUCGAAAUACAAAAUAAAUUGAAAUUUAAAGUACAACUUACCAGUACGAAAGUUUUCCCCAAUCUAAAGAAAUACUGCCCUGACGAGGUUUAAAUAUCCAAGUCUGGACAUUGAGUUCAAGCACGAGAUAAACGAUCCCGCGAAAAAGUGACCGGACAACUAUAGUUAUAUAUAGUAUCUAAAAAUAGAAAAAGGGGAAUUUACGAUGACCCACAAACGUUACAAUA